This 253-nucleotide ribosomal RNA is filed under the name uncultured bacterium. RNAcentral's name for it is "partial 16S ribosomal RNA". It matches the Rfam family "Bacterial small subunit ribosomal RNA", at positions 524 to 776 of the family's 1533-position model. The record is from RNAcentral.
UACAGGGGGUGCGAGCGUUAUCCGGAAUUACUGGGUUUAAAGGGUGCGUAGGCUGCCGUGUAAGUUUGGGGUGAAAGGCCAGGGCUUAACCUUGGGACUGCCUUGGAUACUGCACGGCUUGAAUUAGGUUGAGGUUGGCGGAAUGCGGCAUGUAGCGGUGAAAUGCAUAGAUAUGCCGUAGAACACCGAUUGUGAAGACAGCUGACUGGACCUUGAUUGACGCUGAGGCACGAAAGCGUGGGGAGCGAACGGG